Molecule: ribosomal RNA, 305 nt
Filed under: uncultured bacterium
Lineage: Bacteria
Description: bacterial SSU rRNA
Rfam family: Bacterial small subunit ribosomal RNA
Source: RNAcentral
UGGCGCCUACGGGGCGCAGCAGUGAGGAAUAUUGGUCAAUGGGCGGGAGCCUGAACCAGCCAAGUCGCGUGAGGGAAGACGGUCCUAUGGAUUGUAAACCUCUUUAGGCGGGGAGCAAUGCCGGGCACGCGUGUCCGGAGGGAGAGUACCCGCAGAAUAAGCAUCGGCUAACUCCGUGCCAGCAGCCGCGGUAAUACGGAGGAUGCGAGCGUUAUCCGGAUUUAUUGGGUUUAAAGGGUGCGCAGGCGGCACGGCAAGCCGGCGGUCAAAUCGCGGGGCUCAACCCCGCCCAGCCGUCGGAACUG